RNAcentral lists this ribosomal RNA (223 nucleotides) under uncultured bacterium. RNAcentral describes it as "partial 16S ribosomal RNA". It matches the Rfam family "Bacterial small subunit ribosomal RNA", at positions 113 to 334 of the family's 1533-position model. The record is from RNAcentral.
CAACGUGGUCAACCUACCUCAGCGUGGGGGAUAACUAGCCGAAAGGUUAGCUAAUACCGCAUACGAUCGCUAAGUGGCAUCACAUGGCGAUGAAGGGAGCAAUCCGCGCAGAGAGGGGACUGCGUCCCAUUAGUUAGUUGGUGGGGUAAUGGCCUACCAAGACUCCGAUGGGUAGCUGGUUUGAGAGAGCGACCAGCCACACUGGGACUGAGAAACGGCCCAG